UUGGUGCAUUCUGUUUGUUAGUUCAGCGACAUCUCCAACCCCGUCCUUACAUGCAGCAGAGGGAUAGAUUUCACUGCUGGCCAGCCUGCUGAGGCUAUCUGGAUUCAGUUGCCAGAAGUUACUUUGACUCUUUCAACCCUGAGAUGGAUUCCAGAUCUGCAGAGGCAAUAAGUACUUGUUUGGUUGGUUUGAUGCACAAGGGAUCCUGAGUUUCUCUGUGUGGCCCUGGCUGCCCUGGAACUUGCUCUCUGGAUCAGGCUGGCCUCAAACUCCAGUUCUGCAUAAAGGCAUGCACCACCACCACCAGGCAAGGACUUACUUUCUUAGACACUUUGUUGAUGUCUGAAUGUUAGUUACACAUCCAUUGGCGAAGCAUUUAAGUUAAGAAGCAUUUCCGACCUGCAAAGGGAAGGCGGAAACAACGCACCCUGCAGACACUGCCCACCAGCUCAUCACUUAACUUUCCAAUCUCUGCUCACCGCCUUGCAAUAAAAAUCUUGCACCCUGGUUUCAGAAUGGAAUUUCCCCUUGGGUCAUGCUCCAUGGUUCUAAAGAACUCUGCCUCUGAGUGGACAAUCUGAGGGGCUGGUCAACUUGCCGUGGAGGCGCCCACCUGGUUGAGAUGAGGAGAACCUCCUAGGAUCCCCUCAGAGCCUCUGUCCUGUUAUAUUAUCUCCUAAAGGAAAGGCUCAACCCCGCCUCUGGCUGUUAGCCACAGGCCUGCACAGUGGUCUAUGGGACUUUUGGAGAGGAUGAACAACUGUGGUAUGGACAUCCUUCUGUGUUUGGACUCACUGCCUGCGGUAACCAUCCACAUUUGCCACUGAAUGGGAUUCCUCAAAUUCAAGAGAGUGGGGACACUUUAAAGUCACUGUACCAGUUGUCUCCUCACUGUGUAAACUCUCCCUCUGCUGAGAGGCCUUCUCUUGCUUCAGCAGACUUCCUUAGUUAUGGCUGUGGUGCACCUUGAUGAUACUUGACAUGGUGGUUUUGUACUAUAGGUUCUCCUUGAAGUGCAUCAGACUUUUACUCGAAAGCAGAGGGUUUUUUUUUUUUUUUCGGUUUUGUUUUGAUUUUGACUAGCAUUUUCAAAAUAGUCACUGUGAUAGCUUCUGCAGCUGCUUCUGUUAAUCCCACUGGGUAAGAAUAAUAAGAGGCCACUACCACAACUUUUGAGCCAGAUCUGAAGCAAGUUUUAUUAAAUACUGGUCAGGACGAUGGACAUGGGCCAGGUCCAUACCCAAGUCUGCCAGAGUAAAUGGCACUGAAUUACAUUAGUUACAGGCUUACAAAGGCAAGGCUACACGCCUCCCGCCUUCAUCCAGUCAGGGACAAGCAUACAUCCUGACAUGCUUUCUGCCUAGGUACCUCCCACCUACAUGUGACCAAGCCCAUCCUGUGCAGUUGGGGCAACCAAGCUUGUUUACAGAAGUGAAAACACUCAGCUUGUUCUCUUACGUGAACAGCAGCCCUCAGCACUCUAGGAAGUUAUCUGUCCUUGGGAAAGUGGGGCUUACAGGUUAGAGGCGUUUCUGUUUAUAGAUUUCUUAAGCACAGUAAUUUAAACUCAAAAUAUAACGUUAUUUCUCAACAUGUCUACAGUGGUUCUAUCUAAUAAGUGCAAACUGCCCAUUUUGCUAAUCAGCUUCUUUGGCAACAUAAGAAUGUACAGGUAAAAACUAGAAGCUAAGUUAAAUGCUUAGGAAGUGUGGUGCUGCAUUUAGGAGAUACGGUACAAACUAUACAGCAACAGUUAACUUUAAAGUGCCAUGCCAGCUUCAGAUACUCCAUUAAGCUAUAACGAAUCUAAAUCACACCUUUAAUCCCAGGACUCAGGAGGCAGAGGCAGAAGGAUCUCUGUGAGUCUGAAGCCAUAGUGAUCUCUAGGACAGACAUUUGCAUCUUGAAGAGACUGGAGUCAUCAGUCCCAAGGCCACUGUGUACUUGGUCUGUAGCAUACUGGAGAUAUCCUGUGAUCCCUUUGUACAACUGGUGAGCUUCCUGCUGACUUCAUCCAGUUUUAUGAUAGCCUUACGUCUAUCCCAUCCUCCCCUGUAAACUGUAAAUAAGACAUCGUACUUCUUAUAAACUUGAUCAGCACAAGCUGUCAGCCUAGGCAAGACCUUCUAAUUCCAACUUUCAUAUCUUUCUAUUUUCUCACCCCUGGUCCUCUCCCUCAGGACCCUGGCACUGAAAGAAUGUCCUGCUGGCCCAGGUCACAUGACAGAAACAUAUUCAGCUACAAGUUUCACAACACAUUGUUCGGUCUUAUUAUCAAGUGUGGCAUUCUAGUUUCAGUUCCACACAGCUUAUUUCCUGAUAGUUUCGUUUCACAACCUACAGUGGAAAAAAUAAUCAGUCUCUUCAGUUUGAAGAGGGCUGGGGCAAGCUCAUAAUAUCUAAGUGGAAAAGGGAACAAGGACUUAAUGUACCUGAGUUUUCGAGGAACCUUGAAAAUAAUGCUAGUGUUAUUGAGGAUGGAUUAGGCUUAAGGAAUUAGGGUUGAUUUAUUUGCACAUAUGUAUAUGUUACCAGAGCUAGAAUCCCGUCACACUAGGCAAGUGUACGCCACUGAACUAUGUUGUAUAGUUUUGAGACAGGGGCUUGUAUGUAGACCUUGGAUAACUAGCCUCAAACUUGGCGUUCUCCUAUCUUAGCCUCACAAGUGCCGUGAUUACAGGAGUGCACCACCCAUCUUGGGCUGAGUUGAUUUUUUUAAAAAAGUUUUAUUGCAUUUAUUGUAUUUGCGUGCUUGCUUGUGCAUGAGUGCCAUGGUAUGCAAAUGGGAGUCAGAGGGCAAUCCGUGGGAACUGGUUCUCUCUUUCCACCAUGUGGGUUCUGUGAAUUGAACUCAGGUCAUCCAGUUUAGAGGCAAGUGCCUUAGCUGGUGGAACCAUCUUGCUGCCUCAGAUUUGUUUGUUGUUUGUUUGCUUGUUUUUUGGUUUGGGGUUUGGUUUCUGUUUGUUUUUGUUUUCUUUUUUCUUUUCUUUCUUUUCUUCUUUUUCUUUUUUUCUUUUGAAGCAGGAUCUCAUGUAUCCCAUGGCCUUGAACUUUCCUGCUUCCACUUCUAUGAUGUUGGAACUACAGCAGGGCAAACCAGAUUGAUUUGAAUAAAUAAUAACUACAGUGAAGACAUUUUCUUGAGACCGUUUCUUACCCAUGAAUCAGAGACAGAGAUCUGCCCCCUUGAUUGUAGUUUGUGCUUCGGGAAGCCUCCAUCUCAGAGCCCAGCCGCUGUGAGCAAAGCUCCAGGUCUGCAGAAAGCUUGUCAAUGAGACUGCAAGAUGAGCCGCAUUUUAAAAGUCUUCCUUGGCCAGCAGGCCUGAGAGCACCUGGAUUCUGAAGGACUUGGAUCCAGAAAACAGGAGCCAGUUGGUACCAGGAGAAAUGUUUCCAGGAUGGAAGAAGAGUAACAGCCAGUCUUGGAACCUCCACUGACCUAAACAGUUUGUGUAGCCAGAAGUAGUCAAAAUUGGACACUGUGAAGUUCCCUUAAGAUACCUGCUGGCUGACUCAGGCAUCCAGCAGGGAGACUGGCAUUUCUAGCCAGUGGCCCACAGUGGGCAGGAAGGGGCAGCUGUGCCCACUUGUGCUGGGAUCUGCCCUGGAGAACCUCAGCCACAGAGCUCAAGAUGGAGUAGGCACUGCAAGUGAACCGGCUGAUCUGCUGUGGUAAAGGGGUACAUAUGGGGCUCUGAGGCAUGGAGAAGAGCUUUGUAACCUGCUUUUUGGAUAACUUUGCAAACUGAGAAAAUUAACCUUGCCUUGGACUAUAAUUUUCCGAUCGUCAAAGGGAGAAAAUGGCGCCUGUGUGAAUCAGCCAGGGCACUUAAAAUGUACUGUAAGACUUGGAAAUGCCAUCUGACAUUCUCCCUUCAGCAAGUGAGAGGCAUUAAAUGGCCUGCCCAAGUUCAACCCAUGGCAGAGUCAGGCGUCUGGUUACGAGUGCUUCCUUUGGCUCUCGGCAAGCAGGUGAGAAGCUGGGAACUGGCUCUGUUCCAUCUAGGAAUUCCACAGGCAGGUGGGUCUGGUCUCCAAGCCUGACUUGAAUGUGUGCACCAGGCCCAGAGGAACUAACAACACAGGAAUGAGUCACCCUGGCUCACUGCAGCAGGAGACCCCUCCUCCUUGCCACUUGGGCCAAGGCCCAGUUGCCUAGCAACGAGACAUAAUAUAUAUAAAUAAAAUGCAUCUUCUUGCUUCAGGGGGAGAGGCCCUGAUGCCUUCUUGAUUCUCCUGCCCGUUUUUCCCCCGACUUGCUUGCCCAGGUUCAUUGAUUCGAUGUUCAAGGCCCUCACUGCAACAACCAGUGGUGGACACCUAAUGGUGGGUGCUGGGUGCUGGGUGCUGGGUGCUGAAGGCACGCAUUUAGAUAAAGUUGCCUCGGGGUGGUGCUGAAGCCGACAGGCUUGGCAGGUACACUGGACUUUACUGCCUGGGUGACUGGGCGAGGGCAGUUUGGCUGGACUUAUGUGCCUGAUCCUGAAUCAGAAGGGCAGGAGUUGCCUCAGGCUUCUUUGGGGAAGUGGUGUCCAUUUCCCAGGCGUGGGUGGGACUUACACUACCAUGGAAGGACCUGACAGCAGGAACAGUCUCAGCUGGACCUGAACUUUUCGCCAUCCGCCUUGUCAUUGGUGAGCCAUUUUAUUUAGAUGGAGAACACCUGGGAGUGCAUCACAGUCAGACAGGGUUUCUCUGUGUAGUCCCAGCUGUCCUGGAACUUGCUCUGUAGACCGGGCCGGCUUCAAACUCAGAGAUUCACCUGCUUUUACCUCUGGAGUGCUGGGACUAAAGGCAUGUACCACCACCUCCAGGCUUAUUUUUCUGCUCUUGACUGACAAUGAUGUGACUGGCUAUUAUAAACUGGAAUUGUGAGCUGAAAUAAACCCCCUUAUCCUCUAA
Psammomys obesus (fat sand rat) is the source of this 4902-nucleotide long non-coding RNA. RefSeq lists it as uncharacterized. The record is from RefSeq and is a predicted model, not a curated record. Lineage: Eukaryota; Metazoa; Chordata; Mammalia; Rodentia; Muridae. The transcript is spliced from 5 exons.